RNAcentral lists this transfer RNA (76 nucleotides) under Pseudomonas fluorescens. RNAcentral's name for it is "tRNA-Ala". It matches the Rfam family "tRNA". Rfam says of the family: Transfer RNA (tRNA) molecules are approximately 80 nucleotides in length. Their secondary structure includes four short double-helical elements and three loops (D, anti-codon, and T loops). The record is from RNAcentral. Lineage: Bacteria; Pseudomonadati; Pseudomonadota; Gammaproteobacteria; Pseudomonadales; Pseudomonadaceae. RNAcentral also lists the same sequence under 2 other names.
GGGGCCAUAGCUCAGCUGGGAGAGCGCCUGCCUUGCACGCAGGAGGUCAACGGUUCGAUCCCGCUUGGCUCCACCA